GGGAAUGUAACUCAAUGGUAGAGCAUUUGCCUAGAAUGCAUGAGGUCCUGGAUUCAAUCUCCAGCACCA
This 69-nucleotide transfer RNA is filed under the name Marmota marmota marmota (Alpine marmot). It matches the Rfam family "tRNA". From Rfam's summary of the family: Transfer RNA (tRNA) molecules are approximately 80 nucleotides in length. Their secondary structure includes four short double-helical elements and three loops (D, anti-codon, and T loops). Lineage: Eukaryota; Metazoa; Chordata; Mammalia; Rodentia; Sciuridae. RNAcentral also lists the same sequence under 3 other names. The record is from Rfam by way of RNAcentral.